Molecule: ribosomal RNA, 406 nt
Filed under: unicellular cyanobacterium N2a
Lineage: Bacteria; Bacillati; Cyanobacteriota
Description: bacterial SSU rRNA
Rfam family: Bacterial small subunit ribosomal RNA
Source: RNAcentral
GAAUCUUUCGCAAUGGGCGAAAGCCUGAUGGUGCGACGCCGCGUGAGGGAUGAAGGUCUUCGGAUUGUAAACCUCUGUCACUGGGGAAGAAACGCUAGGCGUGAACAUCGCCUAGCCUGACUUAACCCGGAGAGGAAGCAGUGGCUAACUCUGUGCCAGCAGCCGCGGUAAUACAGAGACUGCAAGCGUUAUUCGGAUUCACUGGGCGUAAAGGGUGCGCAGGCGGCCGUGUGUGUGAGGUGUGAAAUCCCGGGGCUUAACCCCGGAACUGCGCCUUAAACUACACGGCUAGAGCAUUGGAGAGGGAAGUGGAAUUCACGGUGUAGCAGUGAAAUGCGUAGAUAUCGUGAGGAACACCAGUGGCGAAGGCGACUUCCUGGACAAUUGCUGACGCUCAGGCACGAAA